RNAcentral lists this ribosomal RNA (417 nucleotides) under Triticum aestivum (bread wheat). Its description in RNAcentral is "partial small subunit ribosomal RNA". Lineage: Eukaryota; Viridiplantae; Streptophyta; Magnoliopsida; Poales; Poaceae. The record is from RNAcentral.
AAUGAGAAUGGAAGGGCCAUGUCUUGGGGUUUCAUCAUCACGCCAGAAACUUUAAACCAGAUAAUCGUGUCUAAUGCAGUGCGAUGUGCCAAAGUUGUCUUGGUUGGUGAUGAUCCUGAGCUUCAUGGUUUCCGAGCCAAUCCCAACUGCAUGACACAAUAUGGGUACUUUUCCCUCCACCGAGCUGCUGAUAUGUUCUCUGUUGAUAUGAUUGAGUUGCUCUUGCGCCAUGGUGCGUCUGCCAAUCUACGCACAUCUGGUGAUCUAGUCCCUGCUGACCUACUCCCACUCCAUGUUGCGGUUGAGAACACUUCCAUGCAUAAGUACCUUGAGGACAGUCUAAAUCCUAGUCAACAGCGUGUGGACUGCAGCCAGGCAGACAUCAACUAUAUCCUCAAGCUCAUCCACAUCCUGUGC